GCUAGCUGCCGUGUACACGGUAUCCAUGUGACCGCCAAGCAAUACUUGAAUGGGGGCCAAGGGGUGUUUGCGUAGUCUGAGAGCUUUACCUAGUGGUUCUUGUACGAUGUGUC
RNAcentral lists this unclassified non-coding RNA (113 nucleotides) under uncultured fungus. Its description in RNAcentral is "sequence contains ITS1". Lineage: Eukaryota; Fungi. The record is from RNAcentral.